This 491-nucleotide ribosomal RNA is filed under the name uncultured bacterium. Its description in RNAcentral is "bacterial SSU rRNA". It matches the Rfam family "Bacterial small subunit ribosomal RNA", at positions 8 to 518 of the family's 1533-position model. The record is from RNAcentral.
AGAGUUGAUCCUGGCUUAGGACGAACGCUGGCGGCGUGCCUAACACAUGCAAGUCGAGCGAGGAGAUUCCUCGGGAUGAUCCUAGCGGCGGACGGGUGAGUAACACGUGGCAACCUGCCUCAUAGAGAGGAAUAGCCUUCCGAAAGGGAGAUUAAUACCUCAUAACAUUGCAGUUUCGCAUGGAACAGCAAUUAAAGGAGUAAUCCGCUAUGAGAUGGGCCCGCGGCGCAUUAGCUAGUUGGUGAGGUAACGGCUCACCAAGGCGACGAUGCGUAGCCGACCUGAGAGGGUGAUCGGCCACAUUGGGACUGAGACACGGCCCAGACUCCUACGGGAGGCAGCAGUGGGGAAUAUUGCACAAUGGGGGAAACCCUGAUGCAGCCAACGCCGCGUGAGUGAUGACGGCCUUCGGGUUGUAAAGCUCUGUCUUCAGGGACGAUAAUGACGGUACCUGAGGAGGAAGCCACGGCUAACUACGUGCCAGCAGCUGC